UCUGGUGUUGCUGAAAUCCCUCAACAGUUGUUGGUCUGGGAAAGUCUCUAUUUUGCCUUCAUGUUGGAAGGAUAUUUUUGCUGGAUAUACUAUUCUAGGAUACAAGUUUUUCUCCUUCAGCACUUAAAUAUGUCAUGUCACUCUUUCCUGGCCUGUAAGCUUUCCUCUGAAAAGUCUGCCAGACAUAUCUGAG
Molecule: long non-coding RNA, 193 nt
Organism: Sapajus apella (tufted capuchin)
Lineage: Eukaryota; Metazoa; Chordata; Mammalia; Primates; Cebidae
Exons: 3
Source: RefSeq, a predicted model, not a curated record